RNAcentral lists this ribosomal RNA (504 nucleotides) under uncultured Acidobacteriota bacterium. RNAcentral describes it as "bacterial SSU rRNA". It matches the Rfam family "Bacterial small subunit ribosomal RNA", at positions 13 to 528 of the family's 1533-position model. Lineage: Bacteria; Pseudomonadati; Acidobacteriota. The record is from RNAcentral.
UUGAUCCUGGCUCAGAAUCAACGCUGGCGGCGUGCCUCAGACAUGCAAGUCGAACGAUUAAAGCUCUCUUCGGAGAGUGCAUAGAGUGGCGCACGGGUGUGUAACACGUAAGUAAUCUACCUUCGAGUGGGGAAUAACCCGGGGAAACCUGAGCUAAUACCGCAUAACGCAGCGGCAUCGCAAGAUGACAGUUGUUAAAUGAGCAAUCCGCUUGAAGAGGAGCUUGCGGCAGAUUAGCUAGUUGGUAAGUUAACGGCUUACCAAGGCUACGAUCUGUAUCCGGUCUAAGAGGACGGUCGUACACACUGACACUGAAUAACGGGUCAGACUCCUACGGGAGGCAGCAGUCUGGAAUUUUGGGCAAUGGGCGAAAGCCUGACCCAGCAACGCCGCGUGAAGUAUGAAGUAUUUCGGUAUGUAAACUUCGAAAGAAUAGGAAGAAUAAAUGAUGGUACUAUUUAUAAGCUCCGGCUAACUACGUGCCAGCAGCCGCGGUAAUUAGGU